AUUGAACGCUGGCGGCAGGCCUAACACAUGCAAGUCGAAUGGUAACAGGAAACAGCUUGCUGUUUCGCUGACGAGUGGCGGACGGGUGAGUAAUGUGUGGGAAACUGCCUGAUGGAGGGGGAUAACUACUGGAAACGGUAGCUAAUACCGCAUAACGUCGCAAGACCAAAGAGGGGGGCCUUCGGGCCUCUUGCCAUCAGAUGUGCCCAGAUGGGAUUGGCUAGUAGGUGGGGUAACGGCUCACCUAGGCGACGGUCCCUAGGUGGUCUGAGAGGAUGGCCACCCACACUGGAACUGAGACACGGACCAGACUACUACGGGAGGCAGCAGUGGGGAACAUUGCACAAUGGGCGCAAGCCUGAUGCAGCCAUGCCGCGUGUAUGAAGAAGGCGUUCGGGUUGUAAAGUACUUUCAGCGGGGAGGAAGGGAGUAAAGUUAAUACCUUUGCUCAUUGACGUUACCCGCAGAAGAAGCACCGGCUAACUCCGUG
RNAcentral lists this ribosomal RNA (490 nucleotides) under uncultured bacterium. RNAcentral's name for it is "partial 16S ribosomal RNA". It matches the Rfam family "Bacterial small subunit ribosomal RNA", at positions 30 to 507 of the family's 1533-position model. The record is from RNAcentral.